Molecule: long non-coding RNA, 328 nt
Filed under: Cicer arietinum (chickpea)
Lineage: Eukaryota; Viridiplantae; Streptophyta; Magnoliopsida; Fabales; Fabaceae
Description: long non-coding RNA (CARI_LNC002239)
Source: RNAcentral
GAAAGCAAUGGCAAGAACAGAAGAGGAGAAAGUGAUAGCGCAUGAGCGUGCAAAGGCUAAAGAAGCUAAAGCAAAGAUGGAACUACAUGAAGCUAAAGCGAAGCAUGCAGCAGAGAAGCUUAGCGCGAAACAGUCACAUUAUUACGGUGGUCACCAUGAAGCUCAACCAGUUGGGUCAAUUUCCAAACCUGGAACCACUUUUCCAACUUAUCCACCAGGAGGAGGAAACCUUCCACCAAACAACCACAUAUAAUCACAUGUAUAUGUCUUCUCUCUGUGUUUCAAUCCAGCUUCCACGUUAUAAUCCUUCUUGGAAUUUCUUUUAUAU